GUCGGUGCGAGUUCGGCCUCCGUAUCUCAUUGCCAGCAUAUGGUCUAUCAUCUGGUCUCAUUCUUGAAACCUGAUUGUUGCUUGGUAAUUAUAACGUCAUGCAUGGAAGGUGGCAAAUAGAAAAUAGUCGUGAAUUUGAG
Molecule: long non-coding RNA, 140 nt
Filed under: Cavia porcellus (domestic guinea pig)
Lineage: Eukaryota; Metazoa; Chordata; Mammalia; Rodentia; Caviidae
Description: lncRNA (ENSCPOG00000030046.1)
Source: RNAcentral